GUCUCAGUUCGGAUCGCAGGCUGCAACCCGCCUGCGUGAAGCCGGAAUUGCUAGUAAUCGCGGAUCAGCAUGCCGCGGUGAAUACGUUCCCGGGCCUUGUACACACCGCCCGUCACACCAUGAGAGCCGGGGGGACCCGAAGUCCGUAGCCUAACCGCAAGGAGGGCGCGGCCGAAGGUAAAACUGGUGAUUGGGGUGAAGUCGUAACAAGGUAGC
Molecule: ribosomal RNA, 216 nt
Filed under: uncultured bacterium
Lineage: Bacteria
Description: partial 16S ribosomal RNA
Rfam family: Bacterial small subunit ribosomal RNA
Source: RNAcentral